AUGUAAUCCAUGUACCCUUUUCCAAUCAUCUUCUAUGGCUUUCUCCAGAUCUUUUUCUCUAACAGUCUUUCUCUCCCGUGUAAGGCUGUGCCCACACAGACAGCAAAGCCCCCUCUCAAACUUGCGCAGAUCUGAAUGUACUCACAUCUACAUGUAACUAGUUUAGUUCUGUUUCAGAGCUUGAGCUGUGGCCCCGUAAGAACACCAGAACACUGCAUGAGGACAGUCUUUCGACCCUGUGCUACACCUUCUGCAUCUGAGGGUAACCCGGAUCCAGUAAGAGCAUCUCCAAUCAUCCCUUCAUAG
This 306-nucleotide long non-coding RNA is filed under the name Struthio camelus australis. Its description in RNAcentral is "lncRNA (ENSSCUG00000003524.1)". The record is from RNAcentral. Lineage: Eukaryota; Metazoa; Chordata; Aves; Struthioniformes; Struthionidae.